This 251-nucleotide ribosomal RNA is filed under the name uncultured bacterium. RNAcentral describes it as "partial 16S ribosomal RNA". It matches the Rfam family "Archaeal small subunit ribosomal RNA", at positions 474 to 725 of the family's 1478-position model. The record is from RNAcentral.
UACCAGCACCCCGAGUGGUCGGGACGUUUAUUGGGCCUAAAGCAUCCGUAGCCGGUUCUACAAGUCUUCCGUUAAAUCCAACUGCUUAACAGGUGGGCUGCGGAAGAUACUAUAGAGCUAGGAGGCGGGAGAGGCAAGCGGUACUCGAUGGGUAGGGGUAAAAUCCGUUGAUCCAUUGAAGACCACCAGUGGCGAAGGCGGCUUGCCAGAACGCGCUCGACGGUGAGGGAUGAAAGCUGGGGGAGCAACGG